This 681-nucleotide ribosomal RNA is filed under the name uncultured bacterium. Its description in RNAcentral is "bacterial SSU rRNA". It matches the Rfam family "Bacterial small subunit ribosomal RNA", at positions 82 to 777 of the family's 1533-position model. The record is from RNAcentral.
AUUUAUUAAGGGAGUGGCGAAAGGGUGAGUAACCCGUAAGCGACCUAUCCUUGAGUGGGGGAUAACUCCGAGAAAUUGGAGGUAAUACUCCAUGUGGUGAUAAAGGUAGAGCUUUAUCAGUAGAGCCUUCGGGUGCUUGGGGAGGGGCUUGCGUCCGAUUAGCUAGUUGGUGGGGUAAUGGCUCACCAAGGCGAAGAUCGGUAGCUGGUCUGAGAGGAUGGUCAGCCACACUGAGACUGAGACACGGCCCAGACUCCUACGGGAGGCAGCAGCAAGGGAUAUUGCGCAAUGGGCGGAAGCCUGACGCAGCGACGCCGCGUGAGGGAAGAAGGUCUUUGGGUUGUAAACCUCUUUUCUCAGGGAAGAAAAAAAAUGACGGUACCUGAGGAAUAAGCCUCGGCUAACUACGUGCCAGCAGCCGCGGUAAUACGUAGGAGGCGAGCGUUAUCCGAAAUUACUGGGCGUAAAGGGGACGUAGGCGGUUUUUCAAGUCAGGUGUAAAAUCUCCCCGCUUAACGGGGAGGGGACAUUUGAUACUGUAAAACUAGAGGGCAGCAGAGGGAGGUGGAAUUCCCGGAGUAGUGGUGAAAUGCGUAGAUAUCGGGAGGAACACCAGAGGCGAAGGCGGCCUCCUGGGCUGCAUCUGACGCUGAGGUCCGAAAGCGUGGGGAGCGAACAGGA